This is a long non-coding RNA of Beta vulgaris subsp. vulgaris (sugar beet), 1362 nucleotides long. RefSeq lists it as uncharacterized. Lineage: Eukaryota; Viridiplantae; Streptophyta; Magnoliopsida; Caryophyllales; Amaranthaceae. The record is from RefSeq and is a predicted model, not a curated record. The transcript is spliced from 2 exons.
GGAAACCAAAGUCGAGUUCCCUUCCUUCCGUUAGGUUGUCGAUUUAAUGAAGUAAACCCCCCACCCCUAAUUCUUUUGGUCGACAUUUCUCCAAACCCCAAAGAAACCCAUUUCACCAAAAACCCCAAUAUGUUUCUCUCUCUCGUGUCUUGCUCGAUGCUCCACCGAUGAACGAUCGCUGGAUUUGCCACCGCUUUACCAGUUCUGUCUCUCGCCGGAGUUUUCCUAUCUCGCUAGCGUCCUAAGCUCACCGGAGUCGCGCGAUUCUGCAGCGGUUUGCUUCUCUCUUCUUCUCCGUUCUGUGUGUGACCCUGUUGAUGUGGUGGUUGUUGCUUGCGCCAUCGUAGGGUGGUGUUACGGUUGACGCCAUUCACGGUCGCUCUUUUUCUCCCUUUCCUUGUUCAUUGGUGAUGCUGGGUCCACCACCACUACCUCCUUCUCUUCCCCUGCUUCUCUCUCUUCGCCAGUGUUGUUGAUGUGCGGUGGUCGCCACCCCGUGAUGGUUGAUGCUACUAGUUUCUCCUCUUCCUUCUUUGUAUUGCUACCCAGAUGGUGCUAAUCUAAGCUUCCUUUGCUCUUUUCUCUAUUACUAGAGUUGAUUAGUUUGAAUUGAAAGUUCUAUGUAUGAAAUUAUGUUGUUGAUUAAAUUAUUUGUGCAUUAUUUGGGAAGAAUUAGUUUAUGAUAUAGUAUCUAAUUGGUAUUGUGGCUGUUGUCGUUCUCGAUCGUUGUUGCUAUCAUGUUGUUGUUUUGUUGUUGUGGUGUUGUUGUUGUUGUUAUUGUUGGUGGUGGUGAUGCGUUGUUGUUGUUGUGCUGUUAUUGAUGAUGCAUUGUGGUGGGUGGUGUAGAAUUAGUUUAGGGAAUUUAGUAAUAUGUGAUUGGAAUUAAGAUCGUGAAAGAUUUUCAUAUUGGGAAUUGGUUCUGGUUCCAUUUCCUAGUUGAGAUUAGUUUAGAAUAAUUGUCAAAUAUUAUUGUUGAUGAGGAUGGAGAGUAAUUAGUUCAAUUAGAAAAGAGUUAGAUGAGUUUCACAUUUAUCGAGCAAUUUAUCAACUAUUAUCGUUGUUGUAAGGUGGAUUGUGAUUUCGGAGUUGGUGAUCAAAUUGCCAAUCGUCUUGGCAGCUUAUCAUUAAGGAAUCAGUUUGUGUAUAAGGUUUGGUGUCAAGAGCUCGGAAUGGAAGUGGAGCUAGCAAGAAUAAAAUUCUAUUUUAUUCGGGAUUGAGUUUGUAUUUUAGAUAGCAGAUUCAAGAUUAGUUUUCGAUAUUUCAUUGUAUAUCAUUUUUGGGAAUUUAGUUCAAUCAUUGGUGUAUUUAAGGAUAUUUUCCGUUGCGAAGUAAUUUAUUUAAGAGUUAAUCAUUAUUUAUGGA